GCCCGCCUAGCUCAAUCGGAUAGAGCGUCAGACUUUUACGAUCAUUCGGGUGAAAGCAGUAAUAUCUGAAGGCUGCGAGUUCGACCCUCGCGGUGGGCU
Molecule: non-coding RNA, 99 nt
Organism: Termitomyces sp. T159_Od127
Lineage: Eukaryota; Fungi; Basidiomycota; Agaricomycetes; Agaricales; Lyophyllaceae
Source: the annotation of a GenBank genome assembly